GACAGAGGGGGCAAGCGUUGCUCGGAAUUACUGGGCGUAAAGGGCGCGUAGGCGGGAUGGCAAGUCGGUCGUGAAAUCCUUCGGCUCAACCGAAGAACGUCGAUCGAUACUGCUGUUCUUGAGGGUUGCAGAGGAGACUGGAAUUCACGGUGUAGCAGUGAAAUGCGUAGAUAUCGUGAGGAAGACCAGUGGCGAAGGCGGGUCUCUGGACAGUUCCUGACGCUGAGGCGCGAAGGCCAGGGGAGCAAACGGG
Molecule: ribosomal RNA, 253 nt
Filed under: uncultured bacterium
Lineage: Bacteria
Description: partial 16S ribosomal RNA
Rfam family: Bacterial small subunit ribosomal RNA
Source: RNAcentral